Molecule: ribosomal RNA, 1382 nt
Filed under: uncultured organism
Description: SSU rRNA
Rfam family: Bacterial small subunit ribosomal RNA
Source: RNAcentral
UUUGCUAAGGCCGAUGGCGACCGGCGCACGGGUGAGUAACACGUAUCCAACCUGCCGUCUACUCUUGGACAGCCUUCUGAAAGGAAGAUUAAUACAAGAUGGCAUCAGGAGUCCACAUGUUCACAUGAUUAAAGGUAUUCCGGUAGACGAUGGGGAUGCGUUCCAUUAGAUAGUAGGCGGGGUAACGGCCCACCUAGUCUUCGAUGGAUAGGGGUUCUGAGAGGAAGGUCCCCCACAUUGGAACUGAGACACGGUCCAAACUCCUACGGGAGGCAGCAGUGAGGAAUAUUGGUCAAUGGGCGAGAGCCUGAACCAGCCAAGUAGCGUGAAGGAUGACUGCCCUAUGGGUUGUAAACUUCUUUUAUAAAGGAAUAAAGUCGGGUAUGCAUACCCGUUUGCAUGUACUUUAUGAAUAAGGAUCGGCUAACUCCGUGCCAGCAGCCGCGGUAAUACGGAGGAUCCGAGCGUUAUCCGGAUUUAUUGGGUUUAAAGGGAGCGUAGAUGGAUGUUUAAGUCAGUUGUGAAAGUUUGCGGCUCAACCGUAAAAUUGCAGUUGAUACUGGAUAUCUUGAGUGCAGUUGAGGCAGGCGGAAUUCGUGGUGUAGCGGUGAAAUGCUUAGAUAUCACGAAGAACUCCGAUUGCGAAGGCAGCCUGCUAAGCUGCAACUGACAUUGAGGCUCGAAAGUGUGGGUAUCAAACAGGAUUAGAUACCCUGGUAGUCCACACGGUAAACGAUGAAUACUCGCUGUUUGCGAUAUACAGCAAGCGGCCAAGCGAAAGCGUUAAGUAUUCCACCUGGGGAGUACGCCGGCAACGGUGAAACUCAAAGGAAUUGACGGGGGCCCGCACAAGCGGAGGAACAUGUGGUUUAAUUCGAUGAUACGCGAGGAACCUUACCCGGGCUUAAAUUGCAGAUGAAUUACGGUGAAAGCCGUAAGCCGCAAGGCAUCUGUGAAGGUGCUGCAUGGUUGUCGUCAGCUCGUGCCGUGAGGUGUCGGCUUAAGUGCCAUAACGAGCGCAACCCUUGUUGUCAGUUACUAACAGGUUCUGCUGAGGACUCUGACAAGACUGCCAUCGUAAGAUGUGAGGAAGGUGGGGAUGACGUCAAAUCAGCACGGCCCUUACGUCCGGGGCUACACAUGUGUUACAAUGGGGGGUACAGAGGGCCGCUACCACGCGAGUGGAUGCCAAUCCCAAAAACCUCUCUCAGUUCGGACUGGAGUCUGCAACCCGACUCCACGAAGCUGGAUUCGCUAGUAAUCGCGCAUCAGCCACGGCGCGGUGAAUACGUUCCCGGGCCUUGUACACACCGCCCGUCAAGCCAUGGGAGCCGGGGGUACCUGAAGUGCGAAACCGCGAGGAGCGCCCUAGGGUAAAACUG